RNAcentral lists this ribosomal RNA (34 nucleotides) under Thrips tabaci. RNAcentral's name for it is "partial 28S ribosomal RNA". The record is from RNAcentral. Lineage: Eukaryota; Metazoa; Arthropoda; Insecta; Thysanoptera; Thripidae.
CCGACCUCAGUUCAGGAGAGACUACCCCCGAGAU